RNAcentral lists this long non-coding RNA (479 nucleotides) under Gallus gallus (chicken). Its description in RNAcentral is "lncRNA (ENSGALG00010001005.1)". Lineage: Eukaryota; Metazoa; Chordata; Aves; Galliformes; Phasianidae. The record is from RNAcentral.
CUUUUCUGCAGUUUUGUGGUUAAUAACACUGAAAUUUCUCUGCCAUUUUGUAAUACAGUCAUUUUGCAUACUAAGAUUUUUUUUUUCAUUUUUCUUGUCAUCAGCUUUAGUUUUGACUAUUGUGAAUGAUUUUGGCUUCUUAUUCAGCAACUUUUCUAGAUCAUUUAUGAAUAUAUUGAAGAGCACGCAUCCCAUGAGCACUUUUGAUGAGACACCUUGUCUGGAGACUUUCUAAAGAAAAAAGUCUGCUCAUCUACUUGUUGAUUGCCCCAGAGAAAGCUCUUCGGGAAGAAGUAUUUGGUUUCUCGGUUCCUAAAAGCCCUUUGUUCAUGGUGAAAGUGGUGAAACAUGAAGAAUGACCGUGAUGUCUCAGAGUUCAUAAAAACUUAUUUGUGUGAAGAGCUUUCCAGGAAAAAUUUGACUCACCUCUUCCAUUUAAUUUUGUUUUGAUCCACGUUGUAUGUAACCUUUCUAUCAGC